UGGGGAAUAUUGCACAAUGGGCGAAAGCCUGAUGCAGCGACGCCACGUGAGGGAUGACGGCCUUCGGGUUGUAAACCUCUUUCAGCAGGGAAGAAGCGAAAGUGAUGGUACCUGCAGAAGAAGCGCCGGCUAACUACGUGCCAGCAGCCGCGGUAAUACGUAGGGCGCAAGCGUUGUCCGGAAUUAUUGGGCGUAAAGAGCUCGUAGGCGGUCUGUCGCGUCUGGUGUGAAAUCCCAUGGCUCAACUGUGGGCUUGCAUCGGGUACGGGCAGACUAGAGUGCUGUAGGGGAGACCGGAAUUCCUGGUGUAGCGGUGGAAUGCGCAGAUAUCAGGAGGAACACCGAUGGCGAAGGCAGGUCUCUGGGCAGUUACUGACGCUGAGGAGCGAAAGCAUGGGGAGCGAA
Molecule: ribosomal RNA, 405 nt
Filed under: uncultured bacterium
Lineage: Bacteria
Description: bacterial SSU rRNA
Rfam family: Bacterial small subunit ribosomal RNA
Source: RNAcentral